RNAcentral lists this long non-coding RNA (6226 nucleotides) under Malus domestica (apple). Its description in RNAcentral is "long non-coding RNA (MDOM_LNC005200)". Lineage: Eukaryota; Viridiplantae; Streptophyta; Magnoliopsida; Rosales; Rosaceae. The record is from RNAcentral.
AACCUAAUUACUCCAUUAUUUUUUCAUUUAGCUGGCCAUUUGCAUAGGUAAAUGAUACCCAUAUAUAUAGGAUCAAGGGACAAAUAUUUUUACAAAUACCUUUAGACUCUUUUUAAGCCUUUUGAGUACAUGACAUCUAAUGGUUCUUAUUUAUUCAUUAAAUGACAUGGAUGCUUAUGUGGAUUUUAACUAAUAUUAAAGAUAAAUAAAACUGAAAAUUAAAUAAAAUCUAGAAAAUUAAAAAUAUAAUUAAAAAAUGAAGAUAAUUUAUCUGAAAUUGGUUCUCCCAUUCUGAGAUCAAGACUUGGAUUCAGACUUUGAACCCUAAUAAAAAUAUCAUGAAACUUAUUCUUUGCUGAUGGGGAAGCUUGAUAGAAUCUCUUCUUUCAUUUUAUAAAAAAUAAACCCUAAUAAUAACAAAACAAGACACUUUUUAAAUUUAAAAAAAAACAUGAUACCAGGCAUAGGUAAUACCCAACGUAAACAAGGAUUGAGUUUUUAUUUUAUAAAAAAUAAACCUAAUAAUAACAAAACAACAUACUCUUUUCCUUCCUUGGAGCUUUUAUCAUAUUUAUCAUCUUGUUUUUGAAUUGGUCUGAUAAAAACAUGCUCAAGUUUAUAUUUAUAGAUAGUUUUUUAGACAAGUAAUUUUGAAAAAUAAUCAUUCAAAUAUUCAAGUACCUUCAAAGAAAACAAAACUGAAUCCCCAUCGUUCAACAACCGAAACACAAUUCAAACUGAAAUAACAUGAACAAGGGUAAUAUAUUCAACUUCAUGUAAUUGCCAUAGGAUCAUGUAUUACCCUUGACAAAUAAUUGUACCUUGUAUGACGAAUAUAUGAAGUCGAAAGCUUCACGUAAACUGUUCAUGUUACCCUUGUAUGACGAGUAUCUGAUAAUAAUUGUGCCUUCUUUUCUUCAAGGGUAUUAUAUUCAACUUCACAUCAAUCUAGGGUUUCUUCCCUCUUUUAAUUAUAUUUUUAAUUUUCCAGAUUUUUUUUUUUCAGUUUAUUUUAUCUUUAAUAUUAAUUAAAAUCCACAUAAGUAUCCAUGUCAUUUAAUGAAUAAAUAAGAACUAUUGGAUGCCAUGUAAUCAAUGUUAGAGUAUAUAGGAUAUGGAGGGUGUGGAUCAUGACACAUGUAAAUAACCAAAUACAUAAGGCAGUUAAGAGUGUGGUUGUUAGAAUGAUUAGUUAGGAUUGUUGGUAAUAGACUGAGUUAGUUAAGGCAGUUAGCUAAAGACUCAUCUAUAUAGCAACUAUCUCUUGUAACCAUUCAACUAAUCAAGAAAAUAGAAUUGUGAUCUCUCUCUCUCUCUCUCUCUCUCUAAACCUCUUUUGUUAUCUUCUUCACUGUGAUCACUCGGUUCUCCUUAUGUUGAUUAACAUGGUAUCAUCGUCUUGAAAUCCAUUCGUGAUUUCUCGAUCCUUGGUCUGCUUCCGCUACUAUCUUCUUCCUCAAUAUACUGAUUUUCUGUUUUGUUCUGAAAAUUUUGGGCAUCUCUCUUGUCCCAAUUCUGUGAUUUGUUCUUGGUGAAUUCUUGCACACCAGGUGUUUGAUUUUUUCUCACUCAGAUUCUAUCAAGAUGAUCACUGCAAAUCAAUUGCAAAUAUUGCAAUCCCCGAUUACCAAUCUGAUUGCAUCAGUCUCUAAUUCAGUUACUGUGAAGUUGGAUGAUUCCAAUUAUCUUCAAUGACAUUUUCAGUUGCAAUUAAUGCUUGAAGGAUAUGGAAUCAUGGGGUUUGUCGAUGGCACUAAUGUGUGUCCUCCUCAGUUUUCUUCAUCUGGGUCUCCUAAUUCGGAUCUAACCUCUACAUCUUCAACUCCACAAACUGAAACUGAUGAGUAUAAGAUUUGGAAGAUGCAUGAUAGGGCUCUCAUGCAACUUCUUACUGCAACUCUGUCAUCCUCAGCCAUUUCUUGUGCCAUAGGCAGCACUAGCUCCAGGGAUCUUUGGAUUCGGCUUCAAGAACAAUUCUCUACUAUUAGUCGUACAUCCAUCUUUAAGAUGAAAGUUGACCUUCAGAACAUAAAAAAAGGUUCUGAUUCUGUGUCCAUGUAUCUUCAACGUAUUAAAACAGCUCAAGAUUUUCUUGCAGAUGCAGGGGUUAUCUUUGCCGAUGAAGAUGUUGUGAUAUUGGCCCUCAAUGGUCUUCCUGCCGAAUAUAACACGUUCAGAUGUGUUAUUCGUGGAAGGGAAAAUGUUAUAUCUCUUAAGGAGUUUCGUUCUCAAUUACUUGCAGAGGAAGUCACUGUUGAGAACAUUGCCUCAAUGCCAUUUAUGUCUGCAAUGAUGGCCAAGAACAAUAGUCAAGGAUCACAGAGUUAUGCUGUUGGGAAUUCUUCAAAUGGUCUUCAUAGUCAUUCUUCGCCAAUCAACAAUGGUGGUAAUUUUGGAUUUACUGGUCAACCUGGACAAUCCAAUUUUUUCAAUGGUGGAAAUCAGUCAAAGUAAAGGGAAAGGGAAGUUUAACAACAAUCAAGGACAGAGAUAUUAUAAGCCUGUGGUCCAUGAUUUUGCACUUGGAAUUCUUGGGACUCCAUCUUCCUAUCAUAAUGGUGCUUCUUCUUCAAAUGUUAUCUAUCAUAUUUGCUCUAAACAUGGUCAUUCUGCUGCCACUUGUAACUAUAGAGAUGCUGAACCUGUUGAGCCUUGUCAAAUCUAUGACAAGAAAAAUCAUACUGCCAUAACCUGUUUCUUCAGGAAUAAAUCUCCCAAUCAAGUCCCACACAUGGCUGCCAUGAAUACUACUCACAUGUUGUCUUCUCAAAUGUCCAACUCUGUUCCUUUGGCCACCAUAACACAAUAUUCACCUGAAGUUUGGCUCACGGAUUCUGGGGCCACAAACCAUAUGACUACUGAUAUGAGGAAUCUAAGCUUGGCGUCACCAUAUCCAAUCACUGAAACUGUUUAGACUGCAAAUGGGGAAGGUUUGCAAGUGUCUCACGUUGGCACAUCUCUCUUAAGGACUUCUCCUUAUCCUUUGAAAUAGAACUCAGUUCUUUAUGUGCCCAAACUGUCUCAUAAUCUUUUAUCUGUGCAUCGAUUAUGUUUAGACAAUAAUUGUUGGCUAAUAUUCGAUUCAUUCUCUUUUUGGAUCCAGGACAAGGCCACAGGGAGAGUUCUAUUCCGAGGAGCUUGCAAUAAUGGACUCUACCUCAUUUCAUCCCUUCAACCACACCAAUCUGCAUCCAAUUCUAAACUCAUGGCUUGCUUGGGAAAAUUAGUCAAUUCAACUAUUUGGCACAAUCGACUAGGUCAUCCUUCCAACUCAGUUUCUUCUACAAUGCUUAAGAAGUCGAACAUAGUCACUGUCCAUGAUACACCUUCCACAUUGUGUCAACACUGUUUAGAAGGGAAAUUUAGCAAGUUACCUUUUCAGUCUGUUCAAUCAAAAUAUGUGGUUCCGUUUGAGGUGAUCCAUAGUGAUUUGUGGGGUCCAGCACCUUGUCAAUCUGUAGAUGGUUAUAAAUACUAUGUUCUGUUCACAGAUGAAUGUACUAGAUUCAGUUGGAUUUUUUCCUUAAUCAAUAAAUCUGAUUUUUUCCCUACAUUUGUCUCCUUCUAUCAUUAUGUUUUCACUCAAUUAACAACCAAAAUUAAAACUUUUCAAAGUGAUGGAUGAGGAGAAUUUAUAAGCAAAAAGUUUCAAGCUUUUCUUACUGCACAAGGUGUGUUUCAUCAGCUUUCAUGCCCCUAUACACCUGAACAAAAUGGGUUGGCUGAACUAAAACAUAGACAUAUUGUAGAGACUGCCCUUACUUUGUUGCAAACUGCUCAUUUAUCCCAUCAUUUUGGACCUAUGCCUGUCAUACAGCAACCUAUUUGAUCAAUCGAAUGCCAACCACUGUCCUUCACAACAAAUCACCAUUUGAACUUCUAUAUAACGAUGUCCCUGACCUUUCUCACUUAAGGGUGUUCGAUUGUUCGUGUUAUCCUCUCCUUAAAUCAUAUAACAUCUCCAAACUGCAACCUAAAACCUCUCGAUGCUUAUUUUUUGGAUAUGCUUCUCAUUAUAAAGGUUAUAUCUGUUAUCAUUUACAAACCAAAACAACCUACAUUUCGAGACAUGUCCUGUUUAAUGAACUUGAAUUUCCAUUCUCAUCACUACCAAUUUACCCAACCUCUAAGGUCAUUGCUCCCACUCCAUCACUUGCUACUGCACCAUUACCAACUCCAACCUUUCAAAAUAUCCUUGUCUCACCAAUUUCAACCUCUAGAGUGCAAACUUCAUCUUCGGGUAGGGAUACUUCAUAUUCAUCACCUCAAGGGCAUGCACAAUCACCUUCAUCCAAUUGUCAAUCACCUCUCUUGCAUACAGGGUCACUUCACAGAUCUAUUGAGUCCACAGAUUUGUCCCACUCUUCUAGCUCAUAUAAGACUAAUACCCCACCCACCUCACAGUCCAUUAUUGCUGCUCCAUCCUCCUCUACACCAUCUCUUGUGGCCCUUGAUUUCUGUCCUGAGACACUGCAAGUUGUUCUUGAGAUUCCACCUAUGAAUCUCCAUCCGAUGCAGACUCGAUCCAAAAGUGGCAUUGUGAAGCAUAAAGCCUUAUAUGCAUCAGUUUGUGAUUCUGAAGGGGUUGAUCUUACUGUAACCGAGCCUGCCACAUAUAAGUCAGCUUUGAAAGAACCAGUGUGGCUUAAGGCUAUGACUGAAGAGAUUGAAGCCUUGCAUUCUCAAGGAACCUGGAGUAUAGUCGAUCUUCCUUAUAACAAAAAUCUUGUUGGCUGCAAGUGGGUCUUUAAAAUCAAGAGGAAUUCUGAUGGGACAAUUGCGCGGUACAAGGUGAGACUGGUUGCAAAAGGAUUUAAUCAGGAGCAUGAACUUGAUUAUGGUGAAACCUUCAGUUCGGUUGUUAAACCAACCACUGUCAGGUUAGUCUUAGCUUUGGCAGCUCAUCAUGAUUGGCCCCUUCAUCAAUUAGAUGUCAAAAAUGCUUUUCUUCAUGGUUUUCUUCAAGAAGAAGUUUAUAUGUCCCAACCUCCUGGCUUGAAGAUCAUCAUCAUCCUCUUAAAGUUUAUCGGUUACACAAGUCUCUCUAUAGCCUCAAGCAAGCCCCAAGGGCUUGGAAUGACAGGUUCACGAGCUUUCUGCCUACAUUGGGGUUCCAUAAUACAUAUGUUGAUUCAUCACACUUUGUCAAGAGCUCUGGUUCUUCACUUGUGAUUUUGUUGCUAUACGUUGAUGACAUAAUCCUCACUGACAAUGACCCUAAGUUGAUUGCACAGGUUAUUACAGAUUUAACAAAGGAAUUUGAUCUCAAAGAUCUGGGGUCUCUUCAUUAUUUUCUUGGGAUACAAAUCACAAGAACAGCUGACGGGUUAUUCUUAUCUCAAGAGAAGUAUGUGCACGAUUUGUUGAAGAAAACUGAAAUGCUUGAAUCUAAACCAUGUGCCACUCCCUGUUUACCUUAUAAUAGGUUAUUGAAGGAUGAUGGGGACCCAUUUAAUCAUCCAACCCUCUAUAGAAGUAUUGUUGGUGCCUUACAAUACUUGGUUUUUACCCGACCUAACGUAGCCUUUCCAGUUCAUCAAGUUUGUCAGUUUAUGCAGUCUCCAAUGGCUUCUCAUUACUUGGCUGUGAAGAGGAUCUUGAGGUAUCUCAAAGGGACUAUGACACAUGGAAUUCGAUAUACAAAAGGCAGUUUAACAAUUCGAUCAUUUAGUGAUGCAGAUUGGGCUGGAGACCCUAAUGAUAGGCGGUCUACAACAGGUUUGGUGGUGUUUCUUGGUAGCAAUCCUAUCUCUUGGGCUUCAAAGAAACAACAAACCGUCUCAAGGUCAUCAACUGAAGCUGAAUAUCGCGCCCUUUCAUCCACUGCUGCUGAAUUGGAUUGGCUGCAACAAUUGUUUCAAGUUCUACAAGUUCAUAUUCCUUACCCCCUAGUUCUUUUUUGUGACAAUCUUUCGGCAAUCGCACUAUCCUUUAAUCCAGUUCAACAUCAGCGCACCAAACAUAUUGAAGUUGAUGUUCACUUUGUGAGAGAACGGGUUGCAAGUAAGAAGCUCUUGGUUCAGUUUGUCUCUUCUUCUGAGCAGUUUGCUGAUAUUCUUACCAAGGUCUGAGUUCGCCAUUGUUCAAGACUCACUGCAACAAUCUCAUGCUUGGGCCACCAUGUGCUUGCGGGGGGGAUGUUAGAGUAUAUAGGAUAUGGAGGUGUGGAUCAUGACACAUGUAAAUAACCAAAUACAUAAGGCAGUUAAGAGUGUGGCUGUUAGAA